Molecule: long non-coding RNA, 333 nt
Filed under: Ananas comosus (pineapple)
Lineage: Eukaryota; Viridiplantae; Streptophyta; Magnoliopsida; Poales; Bromeliaceae
Description: long non-coding RNA (ACOM_LNC037098)
Source: RNAcentral
UGAACUCCCGCGAGUUUCGGUGGUAGUGCGAGCUUAUACGCCACCGCACCCACACGCUCUAAUAUCUCAAACGGUCCGACAUAACGGGGACUUAGCUUCCCACGGACCCCGAAUCGUUUGACUCCUCGCAUCGGCGAUACUCUCAAGAAUACACGGUCUCCAACCGCGAACUCUAAAUCCUUUCUCCUCUUGUCGGCAUAACUCUUUUGCCGAGAUUGCGCUGCCGCUAAUCGUUGACGAGCAAGGCGAACUUUCUCUUCCGCCUCCCGCACUACAUCCGGGCCAAGAGCCGCUCUCUCGCCCACGUCGCUCCAAUAGAUAGGAGAACGACAC